CAGUAGCCGCGGUAAUACGGAGGGGGCUAGCGUUGUUCGGAAUUACUGGGCGUAAAGCGCACGUAGGCGGCUUGGUAAGUUAGAGGUGAAAGCCUGGAGCUCAACUCCAGAAUUGCCUUUAAGACUGCCGAGCUAGCAGGUGAGAGAGGUAAGUGGAAUUCCGAGUGUAGAGGUGAAAUUCGUAGAUAUUCGGAAGAACACCAGUGGCGAAGGCGGCUUACUGGCUCAUACUGGACGCUGAGGCGCGAAAGCGUGGGGAGCAAACAGGAUUAGAUACCCCCGUAGUCCCUGUCUCUUAUAA
RNAcentral lists this ribosomal RNA (301 nucleotides) under uncultured bacterium. Its description in RNAcentral is "partial 16S ribosomal RNA". It matches the Rfam family "Bacterial small subunit ribosomal RNA", at positions 509 to 809 of the family's 1533-position model. The record is from RNAcentral.